ACCAGUGUGGUGUAGUGGUAUGAACAUUGGACUAUGACUCUGGAGAUCAGGGUUCAAAUCCCUGCUCAGCCA
Molecule: non-coding RNA, 72 nt
Organism: Phrynosoma platyrhinos (Desert horned lizard)
Lineage: Eukaryota; Metazoa; Chordata; Lepidosauria; Squamata; Phrynosomatidae
Source: the annotation of a GenBank genome assembly